UACUUAAUAUAUUCAUAUUAAAGUUUGAUUCUUGCUUGUAGAUUAAUUAUUUAAAAAUUUUAUAUGUAAUAUUUUAAUAUUAUUAUUUUUUUAAAAUUAAAAUUUUUAUGUUCAGUAAAAAAUAUUAUACAACUAAUUUUAUGUAUAGUUAUUAAUUUUAUUAUUGAUUAAAUUUGUGCCAGCCUUCGCGGUUAUACAAUAAUUUAAAAUUAAUCUUUUUGGUAAAAAUAAAAUUUUAAAUUUUAAAAAAUAUAAUAAAUGGUUUUAUUGGGGGGUAAAAUCUUUUAUUCUAUUUUUUAAUUUUUAAAUUAUUUUAUCCUAAAUUAUUAUUCACCUGGAUUAGAUACCCAGUUAUUUAUUGUUAUUUUUCCUAGGUAGUAUUAGUUUAAACUUAAAGAAUUUGGCGGUAAACUAUCUUUUUAGAGGAAUCUGUGUCGUAAUUGACAGUCCACAAUUAAUUUACUUCUUUAUAUAUUUAUAUAUCGUUGUUUAAAGAAAUUAUUUAAUAAUAAUUUCGAUAUUUUCAAUAAAAUCAUAAAUCAAAUCAAGGUUUAAUUUUAAGAAAGUAAGCAUGGAUUACAUUCAUUUAUAAUGACGUCUUAACACAUUUAAUUGUUUUAUCAAGUUGGAUUUAUAAGUAAAUUUUUAUAAUUUUUUAAUAUUGAAAUAGCUCUAGUUUAUGUACACAUCGCCCGUCAUUCUCUUUUUAAAAUGAGACAAGUCGUAACAAAGUAGGCCUGCUGGAAAGGAUGUCUUGUAU
This 760-nucleotide non-coding RNA is filed under the name Bourletiella arvalis. Lineage: Eukaryota; Metazoa; Arthropoda; Collembola; Symphypleona; Bourletiellidae. The record is from RNAcentral.